Molecule: ribosomal RNA, 492 nt
Filed under: uncultured bacterium
Lineage: Bacteria
Description: partial 16S ribosomal RNA
Rfam family: Bacterial small subunit ribosomal RNA
Source: RNAcentral
AGUGAACGCUGGUGGUAGGCCUAACACAUGCAAGUCGAACGGCAGCACAGUAAGAGCUUGCUCUUACGGGUGGCGAGUGGCGGACGGGUGAGGAAUACAUCGGAAUCUACUUUUUCGUGGGGGAUAACGUAGGGAAACUUACGCUAAUACCGCAUACGACCUACGGGUGAAAGCAGGGGAUCUUCGGACCUUGCGCGAUUGAAUGAGCCGAUGUCGGAUUAGCUAGUUGGCGGGGUAAAGGCCCACCAAGGCGACGAUCCGUAGCUGGUCUGAGAGGAUGAUCAGCCACACUGGAACUGAGACACGGUCCAGACUCCUACGGGAGGCAGCAGUGGGGAAUAUUGGACAAUGGGCGCAAGCCUGAUCCAGCCAUACCGCGUGGGUGAAGAAGGCCUUCGGGUUGAAAAGCCCUUUUGUUGGGAAAGAAAAGCAGCAGGUUAAUACCCCGCUGUUCUGACGGUACCCAAAGAAUAAGCACCGGCUAACUUCGUG